GGUGUUACUGUGACUGAGGAAACUUCAACACCUAAGAAAAAAGAAGAAAAAGAAGAACCACAAACAAAAAGUGUUGAGGUUGAAAAUGUUUUGGUAGAUGCUCACCAAAACAUAAAUCAGUUCAACCCUAAUGAUCAACAAUACUUUUCAGAAGAUUCUGAGAGAACUCCUUCUCCCCCAUGGUCUCUGUCUCAUGUGGUUAGUCCAAGGGAAGGGACUAGAGCUAAUGCUUGGUGGAGGAAGCCAACAUGAAAGGCAUAACUUGAGAGAAGACAAAAAAAUAAAAUUAGGGAAAAACCUAACUCUAUAAUGGAAAACUUUAAGUUAUGAAUAAGGUGGCCAUUGUCCCCUUCCUAUGUAUUAAGCUUUGCCCCUGCACUGAACAUGGUUUUAUGAGUUUUAUUAUCAAAUUCUAUUUAACUUAAUUAAGGGGAGAAUU
Arachis ipaensis is the source of this 439-nucleotide non-coding RNA. Lineage: Eukaryota; Viridiplantae; Streptophyta; Magnoliopsida; Fabales; Fabaceae. The record is from RefSeq and is a predicted model, not a curated record.